This 621-nucleotide ribosomal RNA is filed under the name Escherichia coli. Its description in RNAcentral is "partial 23S ribosomal RNA". It matches the Rfam family "Bacterial large subunit ribosomal RNA", at positions 572 to 1194 of the family's 2925-position model. Lineage: Bacteria; Pseudomonadati; Pseudomonadota; Gammaproteobacteria; Enterobacterales; Enterobacteriaceae. The record is from RNAcentral.
AGUGGGAGCCUCUUUUAUGGGGUGACUGCGUACCUUUUGUAUAAUGGGUCAGCGACUUAUAUUCUGUAGCAAGGUUAACCGAAUAGGGGAGCCGAAGGGAAACCGAGUCUUAACUGGGCGUUAAGUUGCAGGGUAUAGACCCGAAACCCGGUGAUCUAGCCAUGGGCAGGUUGAAGGUUGGGUAACACUAACUGGAGGACCGAACCGACUAAUGUUGAAAAAUUAGCGGAUGACUUGUGGCUGGGGGUGAAAGGCCAAUCAAACCGGGAGAUAGCUGGUUCUCCCCGAAAGCUAUUUAGGUAGCGCCUCGUGAAUUCAUCUCCGGGGGUAGAGCACUGUUUCGGCAAGGGGGUCAUCCCGACUUACCAACCCGAUGCAAACUGCGAAUACCGGAGAAUGUUAUCACGGGAGACACACGGCGGGUGCUAACGUCCGUCGUGAAGAGGGAAACAACCCAGACCGCCAGCUAAGGUCCCAAAGUCAUGGUUAAGUGGGAAACGAUGUGGGAAGGCCCAGACAGCCAGGAUGUUGGCUUAGAAGCAGCCAUCAUUUAAAGAAAGCGUAAUAGCUCACUGGUCGAGUCGGCCUGCGCGGAAGAUGUAACGGGGCUAAACCAUGCAC